Non-coding RNA from Odocoileus virginianus texanus, 690 nucleotides. NCBI's taxonomy places the organism in Eukaryota, Metazoa, Chordata, Mammalia, Artiodactyla, Cervidae. The record is from RefSeq and is a predicted model, not a curated record.
AUCUUCUCUGUUUUCCUUAAAAUUCCUCUCUCUGCUCAGAGAACUGGCUAGUUUGAUCUCAGCCCCCAUCAGUUUGUUGUGCUCUUGACUCCAUGACCAGCAGGCCUGUCACUUCUGGCUUCAUGUGGCUCCAGGGAAUGUUGUUCUUUGAUCUCAAGAGAUGCGAGAAGGACCUGGGAGCAAUACCUUCCUCAUGGGAUUGUGAAGUGAACUAAAGGAUGAAUUGAAAGUGCUGAACACAGUCAUUGACAGAGUCAGCUUCCUGGGGAACACAACUUGCACCUCUGUGCUCUCAAUAAAGGCCUUUCCCCCUACCCAUCUCCUUUCUCUUUCUCAAAUCCCUGCCUAGCAGUCGCCCUUAGAUGCAGCUGAGGAGGGAGGAGGAAGCCUUGGGAGUGCAGCUGAGAGAUGGUGAUGGGAAACAGCUAAAUUACUUCAGAGGCCAAUUCAGAAACUUCAGCUUCCCUUCUAUCGGGAGCCUGUGUGGAGCCCUGUGAAGAUAAUACCAAGGAACAGAGGAAAUCAAUAUCUGAAGGCUCUACUAAUUGCAUGGCUGUCAGAAGAGCUUCAGACUUUUGAGUGGGUACCAGGCUUUUCAAUUUCAUGGACCACUGAGAGAGAAAACAAAAAAGGUUGUUCCUACCGGGCAUUUCCUCCUCGUGCUCCAGCAGCAGUCAAAGCCCUUUCCCU